This 535-nucleotide long non-coding RNA is filed under the name Daucus carota (carrot). Its description in RNAcentral is "long non-coding RNA (DCAR_LNC001227)". The record is from RNAcentral. Lineage: Eukaryota; Viridiplantae; Streptophyta; Magnoliopsida; Apiales; Apiaceae.
CCAACAUUAUUUGUAACUGUCCAUCAAAUAUACAAAAACUAGAAAUAAUAUCGAAUAAUAUAUUUAUUCGAUCAAGUGUGAUAAUUAGUUAACAUGGAAAUCUACACCAACAAAGGGGAUCUUUAUAGGGACCAACCGGAGCUCUGCAGUAAGCCGUUGCAGCAGGCCCAAAACGAUAUUUACAAUUAUCCCAGCAAUUAUCGUCAGCCUUUUCAUUCUUCGGACAAAAUGGAACUGGUACCGUUAAUAUCGGACUCUCGCAUGUUUUUCCAGCAACGCAUGUUGCAUAUAUCGCUAUCACAAAUAAAACGUUAUUAUAAGUUCUGAUAACACAAAUAUCAAACUUUAAUUUAAAAUCAUUAUAGCUACCGAGGAGAUAAAAAUCUAUAAAACUGAAACAAGUAAGAAAUUAAAAAUAUUUAUAGAAAAGAAAAAGUACCUAAAAUCAGAGCACAGAGAAUUUUAACCGACUGCUUUUCCAUAAUAAUGUUACUAAUCGUGUCUCUGUUGCCGACGCGAAUCCACCAAAACCGAA